This 253-nucleotide ribosomal RNA is filed under the name uncultured bacterium. Its description in RNAcentral is "partial 16S ribosomal RNA". It matches the Rfam family "Bacterial small subunit ribosomal RNA", at positions 524 to 776 of the family's 1533-position model. The record is from RNAcentral.
GACAGAGGCCUCGAGCGUUAGGCGGAAUCAUUGGGCGUAAAGCGCGUGUAGGCGGCUUGGUAAGUCCGCUGUGAAAGUCCAGGGCUCAACCCUGGGAUGCCGGUGGAUACUGUCGGGCUCGAGUCCGGAAGAGGCGAGUGGAAUUCCUGGUGUAGCGGUGAAAUGCGCAGAUAUCAGGAGGAACACCAAUGGCGAAGGCAGCUCGCUGGGACGUGACUGACGCUGAGACGCGAAAGCGUGGGGAGCAAACAGG